Molecule: transfer RNA, 78 nt
Filed under: Acidobacteriota bacterium
Lineage: Bacteria; Pseudomonadati; Acidobacteriota
Description: Acidobacteria bacterium tRNA-Arg
Rfam family: tRNA
About the family: Transfer RNA (tRNA) molecules are approximately 80 nucleotides in length.
Source: RNAcentral
GCGCCUGUAGCUCAGCUGGAUUAGAGCGUUCGCCUCCGAAGCGAGAGGUCGCAGGUUCGACUCCUGCCAGGCGCACCA